This 349-nucleotide ribosomal RNA is filed under the name Placamen isabellina. Its description in RNAcentral is "Clausinella isabellina partial 16S ribosomal RNA". It matches the Rfam family "Bacterial large subunit ribosomal RNA", at positions 1935 to 2540 of the family's 2925-position model. The record is from RNAcentral. Lineage: Eukaryota; Metazoa; Mollusca; Bivalvia; Venerida; Veneridae.
UGCAAUGAGAGUUGUGCUAAGGUAGCGUGAUAAUUUGUUUUUUAAUUGAAAAAUGGUAUGAAUGGUUUAACGUGGAAAGACUGUCUCUUUAAAAAAAAUUGAAGUUUCCUUUUAAGUUAAAAGGCUUAAUAUUUUGUAAAAGACGAGAAGACCCUGCGAGCUUGAUUAAUGAUGAUGGAAUUUAUUAUCAAAAAGUUUUGUUGGGGCAAUAUAAGAUAUAAUAAACAUCUUAAAAUUAAUGUAAAUCCUUUUUGAAAGAAAAAAGAAAAAGCUACCGCAGGGAUAACAGCGUUAUUUUUUCUUAGAGAUCUUAUUGAGGAAAAAGUUUGCGACCUCGAUGUUGGAUUAU